Siniperca chuatsi (mandarin fish) is the source of this 998-nucleotide long non-coding RNA. RefSeq lists it as uncharacterized. The transcript has 3 exons. Lineage: Eukaryota; Metazoa; Chordata; Actinopteri; Centrarchiformes; Sinipercidae. The record is from RefSeq and is a predicted model, not a curated record.
UAGGCUAUCCCGCCCAGCAGUCUGAACCGUUUUACUCCGAGCUGAUAAUUGGCGUUUAUCCCGCUCUUUAUGAACACGCUUCAUAAAGACGUGUGGAGGACGAGAGGAAAAGGGAGAGAGACUGGAGGAAAAAAGAACUGGAGUUUCUUCUGAGCUAUGAGGUUGCAGCUUCAGAGAAUUUCCUCCACUGAAGACAUCUUCACCAAGUGGUGCCGUGACUCAGACGACCAUCUCCUGCCUGGACCACAGCCGGUGAACUGACCAACCUACCAGCCAAUCGUUCAUCAGCCGAGCAAGAAAUAAGUGAAUCAUGAAGAUCCAGAUUGCCUGUUUGCUGCUGGUGCUGCUCUGUGCCACAGAGGUCUCUGGGGCUCUGACCUUUUAUGAGAGGCAUGCCAUUGAAAACAUGAUGCCGAAAGAUUGUACUAGAGUGAUGAAAGAGAGGAAUAUCCACAAUAACAACAAUAAAUGCUCGUACGCAAAUGACUUCAUUCUGGCCAAUAACGAAUUAAUCAACGCUGUCUGUGCACAAAAUAAGCAACAAAGUACCGAACGCUUUAAAGUUGUUGCCUGUACACAUAAAACGGGAACCUUUCCUGAUUGUGUCUACAUCGGUAAUGCUUUAAAUACAAAAAUUAAACUUGGCUGUGAAGGUGGUCAACCUGUGAAAUAUAUUGGUCCAGUUGCUUAAACAUCUGCUAUGUGCUUCAUUUUGUUGUCAAGCAUAAAAAUCUGAAGUAUGAUGUUUACAUUUUAACGUGGUUUUGAAUAUGCUUCUCAUGAUUUAUCUUCUGUUUGCUUAAAAAUAAUAAUAAGGGAUUGUGAGAAGAAAAUGUUUUCUGUGAAUAUACAAACAAUCUAGAGUCACAAGCAUUAUGCUGACAUGUUCUUCACUCAGUUACCUUGCAUAUCUUUCCUGUACUCAGCUGGUCUUCAUUCAUACUGUAGCAAACAAGCAAGUUUUUGCUGUACUCGUAGAAUAAACUCACUAAAACCAA